GUGUCAGCCGCCGCGGUAAUACGGAGGGUGCAAGCGUUGUUCGGAAUUAUUGGGCGUAAAGCGCGCGCAGGCGGCUUUUCAAGUCCACGGGUGAAAUGCCGGGGCUCAACCCCGAGCACGCCCAGGAUACUGGGAGGCUGGAGACACGUAGAGGCAAGCGGAAUUCCGGGUGUAGCGGUGGAAUGCGUAGAGAUCCGGAAGAACACCGGAGGCGAAGGCGGCUUGCUGGGCGUGAUCUGACGCUGAGGCGCGAAAGCGUGGGGAGCGAACAGGAUUAGAUACCCUCGUAGUCC
Molecule: ribosomal RNA, 293 nt
Filed under: uncultured bacterium
Lineage: Bacteria
Description: partial 16S ribosomal RNA
Rfam family: Bacterial small subunit ribosomal RNA
Source: RNAcentral